Antechinus flavipes (yellow-footed antechinus) is the source of this 379-nucleotide non-coding RNA. NCBI's taxonomy places the organism in Eukaryota, Metazoa, Chordata, Mammalia, Dasyuromorphia, Dasyuridae. The record is from the annotation of a RefSeq genome assembly.
GGCCCUCAGGAAGCAGAGCGUCUACGCCAUGGACUUGACCCCUUUCCUUCUCAUGCUGCUCAGUGUCUGCAAAGGGAGCAGUGCUCAGACUGUGGUGACUCAGGAGCCUUCUCUGACAGUGAUCCUAGGAGGGACGGUCACCCUGACCUGCAGCUUCAGCACAGGGGCGGUCACUGCUGGGCACUAUCCCAACUGGGUCCAACAAAAAUCUGGCCAAUCUCCCAGGGGGAUCAUUUCAUACAUUAGUAAUCUUGUACCAGGUGUUCCUGCCCGGUUCUCAGGGUCUAUCUUUGGGGGCAAAGCUGCCCUCGCCAUCAAGGGGGCCCAGGCUGAGGAUGAGGCUCACUAUUACUGUAUCCUGUGGUAUGGCAAUGCUUAG